GCUCGUUUGGCUUCGUGGCAGAGCGCUCCACUGGAAAUAGAGAGGUCCCGGGUUCGAUACGCGGACCAGGCG
RNAcentral lists this transfer RNA (72 nucleotides) under Ixodes scapularis (black-legged tick). It matches the Rfam family "tRNA". Rfam says of the family: Transfer RNA (tRNA) molecules are approximately 80 nucleotides in length. Their secondary structure includes four short double-helical elements and three loops (D, anti-codon, and T loops). Lineage: Eukaryota; Metazoa; Arthropoda; Arachnida; Ixodida; Ixodidae. The record is from Rfam by way of RNAcentral.